AUGAAUCCCAUGUGGCUCUUCCUCUUUCUGCUGUCAGCUCCCAGAUGUGUCCUGUCCCAGGUGCAGCUACAGGAGUCGGGCCCAGGACUGGUGACGCCCUCGCAGACCCUCCCUCUCACCUGUGCUGUCUCUGGUUACUCCAUCACAACCAGUGGUACAUGCUUGAGCUGGAUCCGCCAGCCCCCAGGAAAGGGGCUGGAGUGGAUGGGUGGCAUAUGUUAUGAUGGAAACACUUACUACAGCCCCUCCCUCAAGAGCCAAACCUCCAUCUCCAGAGACACUUCCAAGAACCAGUUCUCCCUGCAGCUGAGCUCCAUGACCACCGAGGACACAGCUGUGUAUUACUGUGUGCGAGACACAGUGAGAGGAAGUCAGUGUGAGCCCAGACAUAAACCUCCCUGA
Non-coding RNA from Eptesicus fuscus (big brown bat), 402 nucleotides. NCBI's taxonomy places the organism in Eukaryota, Metazoa, Chordata, Mammalia, Chiroptera, Vespertilionidae. The record is from the annotation of a RefSeq genome assembly.